UCAGAGAAUGAAGGUUGCGGAGAUGAGAAUGCUCAGGUGGAUGUGCGGGCUCACCAGGAUAGAUAAGAUUAAGAAUGAAGUUAUUCGAGAGAGGGCGAGGGAGGCCCCGGUGGAUGAGAAGAUGCGAGAAGCGAGGCUGAGGUGGUUCUGGCAUGUGCGGGGGAGAAGUCCUGAUGCCCCGGUGAGGAGUUGUGAACGGCUGGCGAUGGUCGGCGUUCGACGAGGCAGAAGGAGGCCUAAGAGGUGUUGGGGGAGGUGAUUAGGCAUGACAUGGCUAGAAUGCCGGUUUCCGAGGACAUGACCCUUGAUAGGGAAGUCUGGAGGUCUAGUAUCAGGGUUGUAGGAUAUGGGCUCCUAGAGUUUUCCCCGGUGGAUGAGAAGAUGCGAGAAGCGAGGCUGAGGUGGUUCGGGCAUGUGCGGAGAUGCCCCGGUGAGGAGUUGUGAACGGCUGGCGAUGGUCGGCGUUCGACGAGGCAGAGGGAGGCCUAAG
This 490-nucleotide long non-coding RNA is filed under the name Nicotiana benthamiana. RNAcentral describes it as "long non-coding RNA (NBEN_LNC027083)". Lineage: Eukaryota; Viridiplantae; Streptophyta; Magnoliopsida; Solanales; Solanaceae. The record is from RNAcentral.